This 425-nucleotide ribosomal RNA is filed under the name uncultured bacterium. Its description in RNAcentral is "bacterial SSU rRNA". It matches the Rfam family "Bacterial small subunit ribosomal RNA", at positions 917 to 1341 of the family's 1533-position model. The record is from RNAcentral.
GGGCCCGCACAAGCGGUGGAGCAUGUGGUUUAAUUCGAUGCAACGCGAAAAACCUUACCUACUCUUGACAUCCUUGGAAUGCUUUAGAAAUAAAGCAGUGCCUUCGGGAACCAAGUGACAGGUGCUGCAUGGCUGUCGUCAGCUCGUGUCGUGAGAUGUUGGGUUAAGUCCCGUAACGAGCGAAACCCCUUUUCUAUGUUGCCAGCACGUAAUGGUGGGGACUCUUAGAAUACUGCCGGUGUUAAAUCGGAGGAAGGUGGGGACGAUGUCAAGUCAUCAUGGCCCUUACGAGUAGGGCUACACACGUGCUACAAUGGGCAGUACAGAGGGUUGCGAAGUCGCGAGGCCAAGCUAAUCUCAGAAAGCUGCUCUCAGUCCGGAUUGGAGUCUGCAACUCGGCUCCAUGAAGUCGGAAUCGCUAGUAA